RNAcentral lists this RNase P RNA (484 nucleotides) under Candidatus Buchananbacteria bacterium. RNAcentral describes it as "RNase P RNA component class A". It matches the Rfam family "Bacterial RNase P class A". From Rfam's summary of the family: Ribonuclease P (RNase P) is a ubiquitous endoribonuclease, found in archaea, bacteria and eukarya as well as chloroplasts and mitochondria. Its best characterised activity is the generation of mature 5'-ends of tRNAs by cleaving the 5'-leader elements of precursor-tRNAs. The record is from RNAcentral. Lineage: Bacteria; Candidatus Buchananiibacteriota.
CAGAUAAGUUGGAUGGCUACCCCGAUUUUUAAAUCGGGGAGGAAAGUCCGAACACUCUUUGAUCGUUAAGAUUAAAGUCAUGGUAGUGGGUAACGCCCACCUGCUAUGUCGCAAGGCAUAGUAAGGACAAGUGCCACAGAGACAAUACUAGCCAUAGCUUCGCUUUGUAAAUUACAAAUCCAAAAUAUCAAGCUCCAAAUUAAUUUGUAAUUUAUUUGAUAUUUGUAAUUUACAAUUUGGAAUUUAUAGAGCAAAGCUAUGGUGAAAGGUGAAAAGUGUCAUGGUGUUUUAGGCUAAGAAUGGGAUAUCCCCUUAAUCUAAAGCUACACGACUCGGCUGUCGGCGACCGGCAGUUUGCGGUAAACUCUACCUGGUGCAACCCCAAAUACAGUAGGGGGCUAGAACUGGCCAGCAAUGACCAGUCAAGAUAGAUUGCCAUCUCCCAUGUGGGGAACAGAAUUCGGCUUAUAGGCUUAUCUGGACA